UUCUAAGAAGAAGAAGAAGAAGAAGAAACAAU
RNAcentral lists this small RNA (32 nucleotides) under Arabidopsis thaliana (thale cress). RNAcentral's name for it is "ATSL173240". The record is from RNAcentral. Lineage: Eukaryota; Viridiplantae; Streptophyta; Magnoliopsida; Brassicales; Brassicaceae.